Molecule: ribosomal RNA, 440 nt
Filed under: uncultured bacterium
Lineage: Bacteria
Description: partial 16S ribosomal RNA
Rfam family: Bacterial small subunit ribosomal RNA
Source: RNAcentral
CCUACGGGAGGCAGCAGUGGGGGAUAUUGCACAAUGGGGGGAACCCUGAUGCAGCGACGCCGCGUGGGUGAAGAAGCGCCUCGGCGCGUAAAGCCCUGUCAGCAGGGAAGAAAAUGACGGUACCUGACGAAGAAGCCCCGGCUAACUACGUGCCAGCAACCGCGGUAAUACGUAGGGGGCAAGCGUUAUCCGGAUUUACUGGGCGUAAGGCGCUCGUAGGCGGUAUGUCAAGUCAGGGGUGAAGUCCCCGCGCUCAACGUGGGAACUGCCUUUGAAACUGGCAAACUGGAGUGUGGGAGAGGAUAGUGGAAUUCCAGGUGUAGGAGUGAAAGCCGUAGAUAGCAGGAGGAACAUCAGUGGCGAAGGCGACUAUCUGGCACAUAACUGACGCUGAGGAGCGAAAGCGUGGGUAGCAAACAGGAUUAGAUACCCGGGUAGUC